UUUUUCUAUUUUCAAAAUAUACUAAAAUUGGAAUGAUACAAAGAAGAAUAGUAUGGCCCCUGUGCAAGGAUGACAUGCAAAUUCAUGAAGCAUUCCAUAUUUUU
Molecule: small nuclear RNA, 104 nt
Filed under: Choloepus hoffmanni (Hoffmann's two-fingered sloth)
Lineage: Eukaryota; Metazoa; Chordata; Mammalia; Pilosa; Megalonychidae
Source: RNAcentral